RNAcentral lists this ribosomal RNA (517 nucleotides) under uncultured fungus. Its description in RNAcentral is "SSU rRNA". It matches the Rfam family "Eukaryotic small subunit ribosomal RNA", at positions 214 to 731 of the family's 1831-position model. The record is from RNAcentral. Lineage: Eukaryota; Fungi.
AUUAAAAACCAAUGCCCUUCGGGGCUCUCUGGUGAUUCAUAAUAACUUCUCGAAUCGCACGGCCUUGCGCCGGCGAUGGUUCAUUCAAAUUUCUGCCCUAUCAACUUUCGACGGCUGGGUCUUGGCCAGCCGUGGUGACAACGGGUAACGGAGGGUUAGGGCUCGACCCCGGAGAAGGAGCCUGAGAAACGGCUACUACAUCCAAGGAAGGCAGCAGGCGCGCAAAUUACCCAAUCCCGACACGGGGAGGUAGUGACAAUAAAUACUGAUACAGGGCUCUUUCGGGUCUUGUAAUUGGAAUGAGUACAAUUUAAAUCCCUUAACGAGGAACAAUUGGAGGGCAAGUCUGGUGCCAGCAGCCGCGGUAAUUCCAGCUCCAAUAGCGUAUAUUAAAGUUGUUGAGGUUAAAAAGCUCGUAGUUGAACCUUGGGCCUAGCCGGCCGGUCCGCCUCACCGCGUGCACUGGCUCGGCUGGGUCUUUCCUUCUGGAGACCGCAUGCCCUUCACUGGGUGUGUC